This 400-nucleotide ribosomal RNA is filed under the name uncultured bacterium. Its description in RNAcentral is "bacterial SSU rRNA". It matches the Rfam family "Bacterial small subunit ribosomal RNA", at positions 355 to 746 of the family's 1533-position model. The record is from RNAcentral.
UGAGGAAUCUUGCGCAAUGGGGGAAACCUUGACGCAGCAACGCCGCGUGAGUGAUGAAGGCCUUCGGGUCGUAAAGCUCUGUCGGACGGGAAGAAAGUCUUUGCGGUGAAUACCUGCAAGGAUUGACGGUACCGUUAAAGGAAGCACCGGCUAACUCCGUGCCAGCAGCCGCGGUAAUACGGAGGGUGCAAGCGUUGUUCGGAAUUAUUGGGCGUAAAGAGCGUGUAGGCGGCCUCGUAAGUCAGAUGUGAAAUCCCUUGGCUUAACCAAGGAAGGGCAUUUGAAACUGCUUGGCUUGAGUACGGGAGGGGGAAGUGGAAUUCCCGGUGUAGAGGUGAAAUUCGUAGAUAUCGGGAGGAACAUCAGUGGCGAAGGCGGCUUCCUGGAUCGAUACUGACGC